Molecule: long non-coding RNA, 544 nt
Organism: Gossypium arboreum
Lineage: Eukaryota; Viridiplantae; Streptophyta; Magnoliopsida; Malvales; Malvaceae
Exons: 3
Source: RefSeq, a predicted model, not a curated record
AAAAUAAAAGCCAUAGUGGUUUAUGUUCUUUUUGACCGAAGCAUAAAAAAGGAAGAAGAAAGAAACAAGUUUAGGGUUCGGCCAUUAGUAAAGCUCAAUCAAGUGACAUCGAUAUGUGACUACAUGUAAGACCACGUCUGAGAAGUUGGCAUUGUACGAUUUGUGUGAUUAUCAGAGUCUCCUAUCCAAUUCCGAAUGAUUCAUCGGGCAAAGAUAAAUUGAGUUCGAAUGUGUAAAAUGAGCUAUAUGCCAGACUUUGGAUUCAAGUUACAAGCUCGGGGAUCGUCAGUAAAGUCUAUCACACCAUCUACAACUUCGGUAUUUAAAUAAUCGAACUCAAAUUAUGGCAUGUAUAGGCUGGAUCAUGUUUUGAAAAGUUGGAUUUUGGUUUUGUAUAAAUUAAGCCAUGCGAAAAUGGCUUAACUUCCAUGCUUUAAUUCGGUUAUGUUUGAUUAUGGUUUAAGUUCAUUUUGGUUAUAUUGCUACGUGUCAUGGAUGAAAGGCAAUUGUGAUAUGUUUUUUAUGCAUUGAAGUUGUUUGAUGA